GAUGAACGCUGGCGGCGUGCCUAACACAUGCAAGUCGAGCGAUCUUCUUCGGAAGAGAGCGGCGGACGGGUGAGUAACGCGUGGGUAACCUGCCCUGUACACACGGAUAACAUACCGAAAGGUAUGCUAAUACGGGAUGACAUAUGAAAGUCGCAUGGCUUUUAUAUCAAAGCUCCGGCGGUACAGGAUGGACCCGCGUCUGAUUAGCUAGUUGGUAAGGUAACGGCUUACCAAGGCGACGAUCAGUAGCCGACCUGAGAGGGUGAUCGGCCACACUGGAACUGAGACACGGUCCAGACUCCUACGGGAGGCAGCAGUGGGGAAUAUUGCACAAUGGGCGAAAGCCUGAUGCAGCAACGCCGCGUGAGCGAUGAAGGCCUUCGGGUCGUAAAGCUCUGUCCUCAAGGAAGAUAAUGACGGUACUUGAGGAGGAAGCCCCGGCUAACUACGUGCCAGCAGCCGCGGUAAUACGUAGGGGGCUAGCGUUAUCCGGAAUUACUGGGCGUAAAGGGUGCGUAGGCGGUCUUUCAAGCCAGAAGUGAAAGGCUACGGCUCAACCGUAGUAAGCUUUUGGAACUGUAGGACUUGAGUGCAGGAGAGGAGAGUAGAAUUCCUAGUGUAGCGGUGAAAUGCGUAGAUAUUAGGAGGAAUACCAGUAGCGAAGGCGGCUCUCUGGACUGUAACUGACGCUGAGGCACGAAAGCGUGGGGAGCAGACAGG
RNAcentral lists this ribosomal RNA (720 nucleotides) under uncultured bacterium. RNAcentral describes it as "bacterial SSU rRNA". It matches the Rfam family "Bacterial small subunit ribosomal RNA", at positions 28 to 776 of the family's 1533-position model. The record is from RNAcentral.